GAUGAACGCUGGCGGCGUGCCUAAUACAUGCAAGUCGAGCGAACGGACGAGAAGCUUGCUUCUCUGAUGUUAGCGGCGGACGGGUGAGUAACACGUGGAUAACCUACCUAUAAGACUGGGAUAACUUCGGGAAACCGGAGCUAAUACCGGAUAAUAUUUUGAACCGCAUGGUUCAAAAGUGAAAGACGGUCUUGCUGUCACUUAUAGAUGGAUCCGCGCUGCAUUAGCUAGUUGGUAAGGUAACGGCUUACCAAGGCAACGAUGCAUAGCCGACCUGAGAGGGUGAUCGGCCACACUGGAACUGAGACACGGUCCAGACUCCUACGGGAGGCAGCAGUAGGGAAUCUUCCGCAAUGGGCGAAAGCCUGACGGAGCAACGCCGCGUGAGUGAUGAAGGUCUUCGGAUCGUAAAACUCUGUUAUUAGGGAAGAACAUAUGUGUAAGUAACUGUGCACAUCUUGACGGUACCUAAUCAGAAAGCCACGGCUAACUACGUGCCAGCAGCCGCGGUAAUACGUAGGUGGCAAGCGUUAUCGGGAAUAUUGGGUGUAAAGCGCGCGUAGGCGGUUUUUUAGUCUGAUGUGAAAGCCCACGGCUCAACCGUGGAGGGUCAUUGGAAACUGGAAAACUUGAGUGCAGAAGAGGAAAGUGGAAUUCCAUGUGUAGCGGUGAAAUGCGCAGAGAUAUGGAGGAACACCAGUGGCGAAGGCGACUUUCUGGUCUGUAACUGACGCUGAUGUGCGAAAGCGUGGGGAUCAAACAGGAUUAGAUACCCUGGUAGUCCACGCCGUAAACGAUGAGUGCUAAGUGUUAGGGGGUUUCCGCCCCUUAGUGCUGCAGCUAACGCAUUAAGCACUCCGCCUGGGGAGUACGACCGCAAGGUUGAAACUCAAAGGAAUUGACGGGGACCCGCACAAGCGGUGGAGCAUGUGGUUUAAUUCGAAGCAACGCGAAGAACCUUACCAAAUCUUGACAUCCUUUGACAACUCUAGAGAUAGAGCUUUCCCCUUCGGGGGACAAAGUGACAGGUGGUGCAUGGUUGUCGUCAGCUCGUGUCGUGAGAUGUUGGGUUAAGUCCCGCAACGAGCGCAACCCUUAAGCUUAGUUGCCAUCAUUAAGUUGGGCACUCUAAGUUGACUGCCGGUGACAAACCGGAGGAAGGUGGGGAUGACGUCAAAUCAUCAUGCCCCUUAUGAUUUGGGCUACACACGUGCUACAAUGGACAAUACAAAGGGCAGCGAAACCGUGAGGUCAAGCAAAUCCCAUAAAGUUGUUCUCAGUUCGGAUUGUAGUCUGCAACUCGACUACAUGAAGCUGGAAUCGCUAGUAAUCGUAGAUCAGCAUGCUACGGUGAAUACGUUCCCGGGUCU
Molecule: ribosomal RNA, 1370 nt
Filed under: uncultured bacterium
Lineage: Bacteria
Description: bacterial SSU rRNA
Rfam family: Bacterial small subunit ribosomal RNA
Source: RNAcentral